GAGGGAGGGCGCGACGGAGGUAGAGAGGAGCGGAGAGAGGGAGGGAGCGCAGCUUGGUUGCUCCGUAGUACGGCGGCUCGCGAGGGAGAGCCCCUCGCGGACUCGGGGACGCCCGGAGAGGCGGGCGGGCGGGGAUGGUGUGCGGGGCCGCGUCUCCUGCGUCCCUCCCCGCGGCGAGUGAGCUGCACUGAUUUGUCCCGGGGCGGGCAGCGCGGACCCGCCCGGAGAUGAGGCGUCGAUUAGCCAGGUAGAAGUGACAGAACCAUGGCUCAGUUUCCAACGCCUUUUGGUGGCAGCCUGGAUGUCUGGGCCAUCACCGUGGAGGAGAGAGCGAAGCAUGAUCAGCAGUUCCAUAGCUUGAAGCCAGUUUCUGGAUUUAUCACUGGUGAUCAAGCGAGAAACUUUUUUUUCCAAUCCGGGUUACCUCAGCCUGUUCUGG
Long non-coding RNA from Myotis lucifugus (little brown bat), 439 nucleotides. RefSeq lists it as uncharacterized. The transcript has 4 exons. The record is from RefSeq and is a predicted model, not a curated record. NCBI's taxonomy places the organism in Eukaryota, Metazoa, Chordata, Mammalia, Chiroptera, Vespertilionidae.